GGUUAAGCGACUAAGCGUACACGGUGGAUGCCCAGGCAGUCAGAGGCGAUGAAGGGCGUGCUAAUCUGCGAUAAGCGUCGGUAAGGUGAUAUGAACCGCAACAACCGACGAUACCCGAAUGGGGAAACCCAGUGCAAUCCGUUGCACUAUCAUGUCAUGAAUACAUAGUGGCAUGAGGCGAACCGGGGGAACUGAAACAUCUAAGUACCCCGAGGAAAAGAAAUCAACCGAGAUUCCCCAGUAGCGGCGAGCGAACGGGGAACAGCCCAGAACCUGAAUCAGUUUGUGCCUUAGUGGAAGCGUCUGGAAAGUCGCGCAGUAAAGGGUGACAGCCCCGUACACAAAAAGGCACUUGCUGUGAGUUCGAUGAGUAGGGCGGGACACGUGACAUCCUGUCUGAAUAUGGGGGGACCAUCCUCCAAGGCUAAAUACUCCUGACUGACCGAUAGUGAACCAGUACCGUGAGGGAAAGGCGAAAAGAACCCCGGCGAGGGGAGUGAAACAGAACCUGAAACCGUGUACGUACAAGCAGUGGGAGCACCUUCGUGGUGUGACUGCGUACCUUUUGUAUAAUGGGUCAGCGACUUAUAUUCUGUAGCAAGGUUAACCGUAUAGGGGAGCCGCAGGGAAACCGAGUCUUAACUGGGCGUUAAGUUGCAGGGUAUAGACCCGAAACCCGGUGAUCUAGCCAUGGGCAGGUUGAAGGUUGGGUAACACUAACUGGAGGACCGAACCGACUAAUGUUGAAAAAUUAGCGGAUGACCUGUGGCUGGGGGUGAAAGGCCAAUCAAACCGGGAGAUAGCUGGUUCUCCCCGAAAGCUAUUUAGGUAGCGCCUCGUGAAUUCAUCUCCGGGGGUAGAGCACUGUUUCGGCUAGGGGGCCAUCCCGGCUUACCAACCCGAUGCAAACUGCGAAUACCGGAGAAUGUUAUCACGGGAGACACACGGCGGGUGCUAACGUCCGUCGUGAAGAGGGAAACAACCCAGACCGCCAGCUAAGGUCCCAAAGUCAUGGUUAAGUGGGAAACGAUGUGGGAAGGCACAGACAGCCAGGAUGUUGGCUUAGAAGCAGCCAUCAUUUAAAGAAAGCGUAAUAGCUCACUGGUCGAGUCGGCCUGCGCGGAAGAUGUAACGGGGCUAAACCAUGCACCGAAGCUGCGGCAGCGGACGUAUCACCCAAGCAGAUUCACUGAAGUGGAUAACGAUUGACGGAGCGCAGCGACGUCAAUGCGCCAUCAAAGUCGAGUCGACUUCGGGAUACGUCCGUUGGGUAGGGGAGCGUUCUGUAAGCCGUCGAAGGUGUGCUGUGAGGCAUGCUGGAGGUAUCAGAAGUGCGAAUGCUGACAUAAGUAACGAUAAAGCGGGUGAAAAGCCCGCUCGCCGGAAGACCAAGGGUUCCUGUCCAACGUUAAUCGGGGCAGGGUGAGUCGACCCCUAAGGCGAGGCCGAAAGGCGUAGUCGAUGGGAAACGGGUUAAUAUUCCCGUACUGGGUGUUACUGCGAAGGGGGACGGAGAAGGCUAUGUUAGCCGGGCGACGGUUGUCCCGGUUUAAGCGUGCAGGCUUGAGUUCCAGGCAAAUCCGGAACUCUUUAAGGCUGAGGCGUGAUGACGAGGCACCACGGUGCUGAAGUAACAAAUGCCCUGCUUCCAGGAAAAGCCUCUAAGCAUCAGGUAACAUCCAAUCGUACCCCAAACCGACACAGGUGGUCAGGUAGAGAAUACCAAGGCGCUUGAGAGAACUCGGGUGAAGGAACUAGGCAAAAUGGUGCCGUAACUUCGGGAGAAGGCACGCUGGCGCGUAGGUGAAGCGACUUGCUCGUGGAGCUGAAGCCAGUCGAAGAUACCAGCUGGCUGCAACUGUUUAUUAAAAACACAGCACUGUGCAAACACGAAAGUGGACGUAUACGGUGUGACGCCUGCCCGGUGCCGGAAGGUUAAUUGAUGGGGUUAUCCGUAAGGAGAAGCUCUUGAUCGAAGCCCCGGUAAACGGCGGCCGUAACUAUAACGGUCCUAAGGUAGCGAAAUUCCUUGUCGGGUAAGUUCCGACCUGCACGAAUGGCGUAAUGAUGGCCAGGCUGUCUCCACCCGAGACUCAGUGAAAUUGAACUCGCUGUGAAGAUGCAGUGUACCCGCGGCAAGACGGAAAGACCCCGUGAACCUUUACUACAGCUUGACACUGAACAUUGAGCCUUGAUGUGUAGGAUAGGUGGGAGGCUUUGAAGCGUGGACGCCAGUCUGCGUGGAGCCAACCUUGAAAUACCACCCUUUAACGUUUGAUGUUCUAACCUGGCGCCGUAAUCCGGCGUGGGGACAGUGUCUGGUGGGUAGUUUGACUGGGGCGGUCUCCUCCCAAAGAGUAACGGAGGAGCACGAAGGUCAGCUAAUCACGGUCGGACAUCGUGAGGUUAGUGCAAUGGCAUAAGCUGGCUUGACUGCGAGAGUGACGGCUCGAGCAGGUGCGAAAGCAGGUCAUAGUGAUCCGGUGGUUCUGAAUGGAAGGGCCAUCGCUCAACGGAUAAAAGGUACUCCGGGGAUAACAGGCUGAUACCGCCCAAGAGUUCAUAUCGACGGCGGUGUUUGGCACCUCGAUGUCGGCUCAUCACAUCCUGGGGCUGAAGUAGGUCCCAAGGGUACGGCUGUUCGCCGUUUAAAGUGGUACGCGAGCUGGGUUUAGAACGUCGUGAGACAGUUCGGUCCCUAUCUGCCGUGGGCGCUGGAAGAUUGAGAGGGGUUGCUCCUAGUACGAGAGGACCGGAGUGAACGCACCGCUGGUGUUCGGGUUGUCAUGCCAAUGGCAUUGCCCGGUAGCUAAGUGCGGAAAAGAUAAGCGCUGAAAGCAUCUAAGCGCGAAACUUGCCUCGAGAUGAAUCUUCCCUGACUCCUUGAGAGUCCUGAAGGGACGUUGAAGACGACGACGUUGAUAGGCCGGGUGUGUAAGCGCAGCGAUGCGUUGAGCUAACCGGUACUAAUGACCCGUGAGGCUUAACCUU
This 2991-nucleotide ribosomal RNA is filed under the name Erwinia amylovora. RNAcentral's name for it is "23S ribosomal RNA". It matches the Rfam family "Bacterial large subunit ribosomal RNA". Lineage: Bacteria; Pseudomonadati; Pseudomonadota; Gammaproteobacteria; Enterobacterales; Erwiniaceae. The record is from RNAcentral.